CAAACCUGUCACAAAGCCCUGCCAGCCAGGGCACCCACAAAGCCCACCUUCUCCAGAGGGGCCUGAAUCUCUUGUUGGGCUUGGUGUGGGUUUCGGAGGCGAUGACUGGGCUGAAGUGACCUCUCUCAUUCAACAGACUCAGCCACUCAGGGCUGGGCCUGGCCUGACUCUAGGAGCACAAGAUGCAGCCUCUGUCCUCAGAGAUUCAAAGGUUGAGCAGACAUUGGCCACAGUCCCGGCUGGCUCCGACCGUGGCAGAGGCUGAACCAGAGCAGAGGAGGAAGCAGAGGGGUGGGCCGCAAGCUCUUCUUGGAGUCUCAGGAGCUGCAGAGAGCAAGCUGGGCUUCCUGGAGGAGGAGGCGUGAGAGUUGGGCCUUGAAGCACUCAGCAGCUGUUUCCUGAGCUGAUGUACAUCUCAUUAGUCUAUCAAGCUCCAACAGCCAAGGCCAAGGCCCCCAGAAUGAAAAACUGACGCAGCCACCCCUUCCUGUGCCAGAGACAGGAGAAGGGAGGGAGACUGACGGCCUUUGUUCUCUGAGCAAGACCGUAAAGCACUUCGCCUACAGGCCACAAGAGGGCGAUGGUGGUCCACACAUAAGAUCUUCCCAAAGAGCCAGCCAAAAACGCCUGCCUGGAGAAUCUGGAGGUUGUGAAAGGUGACUUUGUUAAGGAAGGGCGAUGGCCCUUCUCCCUGCCCCAGAGCUCUGAAAGCCUUUAAAGUGGCUUUAGCAGCGUGGUUUAAGAAUGGCUCCUUCGGUACAAGGACGGCCAUCACUGCUUCUCCUACUGUGUUUGAUGCCAGCGUUCUUCCCGUCUGCAGGGAAGGACGGAGAGUGAGGAGGGCACACAGGACGUAGCUGGCUCCUGGCCAUGGACGGUGACCGCUCUGGGGCCAGCAGGGUAGAGCUGCCUUCCUACAUCUGAGAACUCAAGGGCGAGAGGGAGGCAGGGCAGGGGAGAGGGUUGGUCUCAGUUCACAGGGCGACCCUCUGGCCCUGGUUCUGACGGCGACUCGCUGUGUAAGCUAAGGAGUGUCUCGCUCUGUACAGCGGGCAGGUGGUGGGUCUCUGCACGUCCAGCAUCUCCAGCUUUCCGUCCUCUGAGCUGUUUUGACAUGGGAGGCGCUGGCAGGGAGAGAGGGGUCACUGAUGUGGGAAGCUGGUGCAGAGCUGGGGAGUAGCUUGUGAUGCUGGAGAACCUGGAGAUGCCCCUCCCAUUCCUUGGGCCUCGACUGUCUCAUCUGUGGAAUGGGCGGGUCAGACUGGAUAAUCUCUAACCAUUGCUUCCCUUCACUUCUGUCCCAAUAAACACACACGGAGCUUU
RNAcentral lists this long non-coding RNA (1323 nucleotides) under Homo sapiens (human). Its description in RNAcentral is "HSALNT0354024". The record is from RNAcentral. Lineage: Eukaryota; Metazoa; Chordata; Mammalia; Primates; Hominidae.